Molecule: long non-coding RNA, 633 nt
Filed under: Capsicum annuum
Lineage: Eukaryota; Viridiplantae; Streptophyta; Magnoliopsida; Solanales; Solanaceae
Description: long non-coding RNA (CANN_LNC017560)
Source: RNAcentral
UUCUCCAAUUGCAACUUGCAAGAAGAUGUGCCCAAGAUCGGGAUGCAAAGGCUCAAGAAUGUUCUCCUUAGGGGGAGUGAAUACGCACUGUACUCUUUUUUCCUUACGAGGUUUUGUCCCACUGAGUUUUCCUUAUAAGGUUUUUAAUGAGGCAACCUAUAUGCGUAUUGUUAGAGAUGUGUACUCUUUUUCGUUCACUAGAUUUUUUUUCCCACCAGAUUUUUUCUAGUAAGGUUUUAAUGAGACACAUUAUCUACCUAGAUAUUCAAGGGGGAGUGUUAUAAAUGUAUUUACAUUAUAGUGAAUCUCUAUCAAGAUCUAUCAAGAUCUAGUUGAUAUCUAUUAGGAUUUGAAGUAUCUAUUUUUUAGUCAGAAAUUAAGAGUAUUUUCUCCUAUAAAUAGAGGAAUUUUGUUCAUUGUAUGAUCAAUGUUAUGAUCUCUGAUCCCUCAAGAGAAAUAAAGAAGUCUUUCCUCUUCUCUCUCUAUUUAUUCUUGUUUUUGCUUUAUAUUUUCCUGUUUUUUCUUUUAUAUUUCAUAACAUUAUUAUUAUUAUUAUUAUUAUUCUGGAAAAGUCCUUUUGGCCACAAUUUGGUCACAAUAGAAAAAAGUUAUAUUCACACUAUGAACUAGUUA